ACCAGGCUUAUAGGAAGUGGGCGGGGCCUGCACAGCUACCUUUGUGAUCUCAUGAGGCUCAACAAUGCCUUCUUGGCCAGACACAGGCAGGCCGGGUGUGGGAAAUCCAACAGGAAAACUCAGCUCCCUGUGGGCCCCGCCACACACUGGAAGCAGACCCAGUGGCCCACCCACCAUGCAGUUUGGCUGUGGGACUCCCUUCCCCUGACAGCUUCCAGAAUUCGAGAGCUGAAGACACUUCCCCCGCUCUGUGAUGUCUCUGCAGGCCCCAGUUCCCAUGCAGGUCAUCUGUUGCCACCUCUUUCAGCGCUGCUGCCUAAAGCCUCCACCUCCCUCUUCAGUCACCAAUCCCAGGCUCUACUGAGUGCCGACAGGGCCCUGCUGCUCCCAAGAUGGAGCAGGAGGCACAUGGUGGGCUCCAGGGUUCCCCCUGAGGCCAGGCCCUUCUCUGUGCUGGAAGCAGGCUGCUGUCCAGAAGAGCCCUGAAAAACAGGUCAGGCACAGCUAUCUCUUUGGAAAGAUGAGGUUGUUACCUGCUGUUUGAGAAACCAAGACAUGGGGGACACACCAGCCUUUAUCAGCACAGGACUGACCAGUGCUCAUCAUUCUGCAGAAGGCCAGCAGCACUUGCCCACACUGCUUCUGGAAGCCCCGACUGGGGGCAGUAAGGACGGGGCCAGAGUUAGAUGCUUCAACUAAGGAAGCUGUUUGACAGCAUAGAGAAGUUGCCUUCCUUGCAAGCAGCCUUUCUGAAGAUGUUACCAAAUGUUUGUUUCCUAGGCAGUAGUUUGGGUAGGGCACUCAAGAAGAGAGGCUAUGGUGUGCAGGGAAGAGAGGGGCACAGGCCUCAACUGGUGGCAGUGCGAGGCUCUGGGGGGAGUGCGUUCGGUGCCCUCUCCUUGCCUGCCCAGGCAGCAGCCAGGUUGGACUCGGCUCUGUGUCCACAGCUCUUAGGGUUAGAGAAUGAAGGCUCCAAGCUCCCCCUGCCUCACCCCCUCUCCCUCAAGCCUUUCUUGCCUCUGUCAUCCAUGAGGUGCCCUCACAGCAACUGAGGCUAUAGCUGUUUUGAGAUGGCCAACUCAAGUCGUGUUGAACUGUGCAGACACAGCUGGCCAGGAGAAGCACCUUGACAGACGAAACACCCGAACAGGACCAGAGGCGUUCUCCCUACUUACCUAGAGGCCUUGCUAUUGGGUGGCUGAUCUGUAUGACAUUUCCCAAAUUGACUUCAGUGCAGAAACUUUGCCCACUCUUCCUGGCAGUCUCUUUAAGCCACUGCAUCACGUAUUUCUCUGGUGCCUUUAACAGCCUUCUGUGAGCUGAAUAUCAGUUCUACUUCGUUUUGGAGAUGGGGGUAAAAAUUGUCUUACAUGGUAAGCACUAAAUACAUUUAUGAACCAUCUUUUAAAUACAUAAAUAUAAGAUAACGGUUAUUUACGGUGUCUCUGGCUCUCUAGUAUUGGGUCAUAGUAUUAGAAAGUAUAGGUCCUCUGCAGGCAGCUCGGGGUGGUGGGUUCCGAGUUGGGGGAUAAGCAACCCCGCUAACCCUCUUGCUGGACGUCUGUGACCUCACUGACAAACCUCAUCUUGAACUGAAGGAAAAAACCCUAGAAUUUAAGCCUCUUUAUGAAUGUGAGGUGGGGCCCAAAGAUGAGGGGCAGAGAGCUGAGCUGCUGUGGAUGGCCUCUUUUCAUGUUAUCUGGACAGUGUCCACUGGGUGGCCCACAUGGCCACAAUCCCUGAACCCACAGCAGGGAUGCCAUCCCCUCUUCACAGCUCCCACGUCACAGUCUGUGCUGUUUGCCCAGGAAGGUUAGUCAAGGGGCAGAGGGAUAGGGAAGAGGAAUAAGCCCAGGCAGGUGCAGGAGAGAACAAUGAUGAUCAAGAAGAGUGAACUCUGGGGAGGGGAGUUACAGACACAGCUUUCCAGGUCCCGGGACCCACAUCACUCCAGCCUCCCUUGGUCUCAAGCCCUCCCCUGGUGUGCUGCCUUCAGCCUGAGGAUCUCCACCUGGCUUCUGACAGGGCCCAGCUCCAGCUGCUGCAGAGUAUCUCUGACUUGAGUGGCUCCAUCCUAGUGUCUGUGCCCUGGGUACUGUGGGCUGCCAGCCUCUGUGGGCACCUGCAGUCGCUUUGGCACUGCACAGAGCCACAGUUCUGAUGCUCGGCUGUGACUGCCCCUGGGCUGGAGGCUGGAAGCUGUGGCGCUGCCCUGACGGACUGUGGUGGCAAGACCAUGUCCAGUGACUCAGGGUACUUAGGUAAAGAGGCUGCAAAAAGCUGAGGGCUCCUGAGGGAAGAAGUGUCGGGACCCUUUUCUCAAGGUUUCCCACACUUUUCGUUUUGGUGGUAAAGAAGGAGGGAUUCACCUUCAGGCUCUUCCCAACGAGGGAGUAUAGCACCAGUGUGAGGGCAGGAACAGUGUGUCCAUUUGGCCCACCAGGAGGCAGGGAGGAGCCAUGGCUGGGGAGGGCAGAGUGUUCCAGAAAAAUGCCCUGCCCUCCCAUUGAUUCGGCCUUAGGUGGGGCCUAGAUCUCUGUUACCUCCCCAAGUGUUUGGUGUUUCCCUUCUGAGCUCAGCAAAGUCAGUAUCAUCUCCCUGUCCGAGCAUUGAGGGUGAGCCACGUGAAGCUGGUGCCACGAGACCUCUGUCACCUGUGCCUUUCCACUUGGUGGGCUACUGGACUGCUGGGGUUCAUGGAACGGUCUCUCCAACACUGCAGCAUGUGUGCACUGGGUCUGAGGCCAGUGUGAGUGCUGCUAAUGAUUCUGGGUCACUAUUAGAAAGCCUGGCUUUUGAAACAAUUUCCAAAGUUGAGGGGUUUUUUUCUUCCUCCUUAAACAACAUUUAGUUUUGACCCCAGAGGUUAUGGCAGUGUGAAUAAUCCUCUCCCUUCCUGCAGAACCUGACAUCUGGUUACCUUUCUAGUUUUGUCUGGAAACCAGAUAAAAGUAUGUCAGCUGUUUCAGUGCAGCACUACUUAUGGUAAACAUGAUUCCUAAUUGUAAAUUAUCUGCACUUGGAGUUUUCUGUGUGAACUAUAAACACUUGUUAAAAAGCCAUAAUGUUGGGCUUCCUAUGUGUAAUGACUCAGUUGGGUAUGUGGCUUAUGGGGUCCCUGAAAGCUGUGCCUCUUGAGUUGUUCAAAGAGAUAUGAGCACCUUUGGGGAAUGAUGCCUCUAAGCCACAGUGAACCAACCCCCUUCUCCCUCAUGUGUCUCAUUCCUUUGUACCUGAGCUGUCACCUGGGCAACCAAGGAGAAUAACUCCCAUGACCGAUAGAUGACUGGAGGCUCUGCGAGGACUGCCCUCCUCCCCUGAAGAGGGCUGCUUCCUGCUGCCCUGCAGCCAGGCCAUUUCCUGUCUGACAGCCUUCAAAGUAAAUGCCACGCCCAGCGUAGCCUGCAGGGAUCUUGAGUCUGAAUGGUUGCUGGAUCUGAGACAAAGGCCCACGGGAGGGAGUUGCAGGCAGUAGGACGUGUUGUACCCCUUAACAGCUAUGGAAUUAACCUCUGUAAGCACCUGUGAGAUGGGGAAACAGUAGUUACACUAUAGGACUGUUCUGAGUUUUCAAUGGGAUACUGUACAAAAACAACUCAGCACAGUGAGUUCUCAAAACAGUGCUCAGUAGGAAGUUAUAUACUCUUGACGAAAAGAGGGUAAGGUGGGGUGGGUGCCCAGCUUUGCAGCAUGUCUGGCCUGCCUACAUAUGCCAGUGUCACCUUCAGUCCCUGUGUCUUGAGGCUCACAUCUAGAAGUUUGUUGUUAGGGUUCAGCAAGGUACUUAUUGGGAAUACCCUGAAUGAAUAGCACAGUCUACAAGAUCCCAGUGUUGGCUGGGUGUGGUGGCUCAGGCCUGUAAUCCCAGCACUUUGCGAAGCCAAGGCAGGCGGAUCACUUGAGGUCAGGAGUUCGAGACCAGCCUGGCCAACAUGGUGAAACUCUACUAAAAA
Molecule: long non-coding RNA, 3953 nt
Filed under: Macaca fascicularis (crab-eating macaque)
Lineage: Eukaryota; Metazoa; Chordata; Mammalia; Primates; Cercopithecidae
Description: lncRNA (ENSMFAG00000054668.1)
Source: RNAcentral